AGAGUUUGAUCCUGGCUCAGGACGAACGCUGACGGUGUGCUUUAGGCAUGCAAGUCGAACGAGAAAGCCCUUUGGGGUGAGUAAAGUGGCGAACGGGUGAGUAACACGUGGGCAACCUGCCCCUCGCAGGGGGACAACCGGAGGAAACUCCGGCUAAUACCCCGUAAGCUCUACACGCCGCAUGGCGAGUAGAGGAAAGGUAGCUUCGGCCAUCCGGCGAGGGAUGGGCCCGCGGUGCAUUAGCUAGUUGGUGGGGUAACGGCCCACCAAGGCGACGAUGCGUAGCUGGUCUGAGAGGAUGAUCAGCCACACUGGGACUGAGACACGGCCCAGACUCCUACGGGAGGCAGCAGCCAGGAAUCUUGGGCAAUGGGCGAAAGCCUGACCCAGCAACACCGUGUGGGCGAUGAAGGCCUUCGGGUCGUAAAGCCCUGUUGAUAGGGACGAAGGGCGAAGGGUUAAUAGCCCCUAGCUUGACGGUACCUUUCGAGGAAGCCCCGGCUAACUACGUGCCAGCAGCCGCGGUAAUACGUAGGGGGCGAGCGUUGUCCGGAAUUAUUGGGCGUAAAGAGCGUGUAGGCGGUUCGGUAAGUCUGUCGUGAAAUUCUGGGGCUCAACCCCGGGCGUGCGAUGGAUACUGCCGGGCUAGAGGGUGGUAGAGGCGAGUGGAAUUCCCGGUGUAGCGGUGAAAUGCGCAGAUAUCGGGAGGAACACCAGUAGCGAAGGCGGCUCGCUGGGCCACACCUGACGCUGAGACGCGAAAGCUAGGGGAGCGAACAGGAUUAGAUACCCUAGUAGUCC
This 801-nucleotide ribosomal RNA is filed under the name uncultured bacterium. RNAcentral's name for it is "bacterial SSU rRNA". It matches the Rfam family "Bacterial small subunit ribosomal RNA", at positions 8 to 796 of the family's 1533-position model. The record is from RNAcentral.